CGCCUUCUUCUUCACGCUUUUCGCGAUCUGAGAGCGGAGUGAUUCGACGUUUCUCUUUCUCAUUUCUCCAGACCCCGAUUUGCUAGAUCGAAUCGUGAGACCCUUUUCUCUUCCUCUCUUCGUUUCUGUUUCACGAUGAUCCUCCUCAGCACCUCAAUCGACAUGAUGACAUCAAAUCUAAUGACUUCCUCGAAAUCCCAUGACAAGGAAAAGACUGUUGCUCCUCGGAAGAAUCGGGAGGACAUAUCAGAAGCAAAAGUAUAGAGACCGUUCAAAGGAGGGAGAAUGAAACAAGGCGGAGUGAUAGAGCAGAAAUCAAACAUGUUGAGAUGGAUUCCGCCUGGAUCUCCAGGAUUAGGCGGCGUUGAGGUUAAGAACGAGAAACAUAUGCGCCAGGUGGCUCUUCAACGAGACGAGAUUGAAUAAGACGUGUUCAGCAGGAGCGGGAACAUGGCGUCUCACUGACCACGAAAGAGGACGAAAACCUUGCAGGACCAUCUGGAUGCAAGUCACCAAGUGUUCGACGAAUUGCCUCACACACAAUUUUACCAACAACUUUAUCGUCUUAGCCUCUCACGAGGAAUAUCUACGGUUCGUUCAGGUUAUUUUUCCUAAUUUGCUAAUCAGCUUUUGUUUAAAAUAUUUAUAUAAAUCUACAAAAUGAUGCUCAGGAAACAAUGUUGGAGAUUUCAGUUACAUACGGAGAUGUCCUGAAGCAAACAUGUAAAUAAAUUUAGAAUUCGAUUUAUAAGUUAGUUCAAAGCUUCUCAUAUCACUACUUCUUCUCAGCUUUUAGAAGUCAACAUUUAUUUGUUCUCGAGGUUUCCGUUUUUUUUUUUAACUUUUGACGAAAAACUUACUUUGUAGCUCAUCUUAUAAAGCGGCAGAUGCAAAUGACUCUAUUACCAAAUUUGAAUACAUCUUCAGCUGCGGUCUCUUUGAUUGUGUGGAAGAAAGCAUUGGUUUGUUUAUGUAUAUACAAACGAGAAAUGUUUGGUGUCUCAGUUUAUGAACAUGAAGGUUGCUGGCAAGUAGAGGAUGCCAUGAGGCUUGCAAGGGGGAGGUGUCAAACUGAGGACCUCACCUAGAUGAUUAAAUUAAUCUUACCGAUGCUAUGGUGGCAUACCAAACUGCCGCAAAAGCAGCGGCUCAGAUUCAGAGCGUUUCGGGAUAAUGCGAUGAAGGCGGCAUGGCACAGUCAAAGGUUAUCCAGUUUGCCAACAUCGAAGAAGAGGCUAAGAGCAUAUGAUGAAGAUCUAGAAUGCUUUCUGCAAAUAUAUGUAUAGUAAUGUCAAAGCUUCUAUCUGGAUUCACUGUCGGUUCCAGACAUGGAAAAUUCAAAGAGAGUUCUUCAAAAUGUGGGGUCAGCAAGUUAGGAUCCAAGUAUGUAGUGAUAUAAGAAGCGCUAAUGCAACCAACAAGGCAAUGAAAUCGCGGCGGUUGACGUGUGUCAAAGUGGAUUAUAGAGAGGUGGAGAUACAGAGGCAUUGAUGACCGAUUUAUGAUGGGGUAGAGGAUUGUGUUUAAGAAGAGUAGAUCUCGCUAAAGUUGAAGCCAUUGUCGAGACUUGGAAAGGUGUAAAAAUCUUUCCCAAAAAUAUCUAUCAUCAAUUAGACCCUUCAUAUCAUAUAAUCAUGACGUUUAUUACUCUUCACGAUUACCAAUUGUAGACAUUUUUCUAUAUUUAAAAUAAUAGAUAUUGAGCAACGAAAGAUCUUCUCAAUUAGAUACACAGAAACUCUGAGUGAGCUUAGCAGUUGGUGCAUUUUCAGAUUUUUUUUGUUGAUUUUCAGAUCAAUGACAGAAAUUCAUGAUAUACUA
This is a long non-coding RNA of Brassica napus (rape), 1821 nucleotides long. RefSeq lists it as uncharacterized. The transcript is spliced from 3 exons. The record is from RefSeq and is a predicted model, not a curated record. NCBI's taxonomy places the organism in Eukaryota, Viridiplantae, Streptophyta, Magnoliopsida, Brassicales, Brassicaceae.